RNAcentral lists this ribosomal RNA (467 nucleotides) under uncultured bacterium. Its description in RNAcentral is "partial 16S ribosomal RNA". It matches the Rfam family "Bacterial small subunit ribosomal RNA", at positions 29 to 507 of the family's 1533-position model. The record is from RNAcentral.
ACGAACGCUGGCGGCGUGCUUAACCCCUGCAAGUCGCACGGAAAGGCCCUGCUUUUGUGAGGUGCUCGAGUGGCGAACGGGUGAGUAACACGUGAGUAACCUGCCCUUGACUUUGGGAUAACUUCAGGAAACUGGGGCUAAUACCGGAUAGGAGCUCCUGCUGCAUGGUGGGGGUUGGAAAGUUUCGGCGGUUGGGGAUGGACUCGCGGCUUAUCAGCUUGUUGGUGGGGUAGUGGCUUACCAAGGCUUUGACGGGUAGCCGGCCUGAGAGGGUGACCGGCCACAUUGGGACUGAGAUACGGCCCAGACUCCUACGGGAGGCAGCAGUGGGGAAUAUUGCACAAUGGGCGGAAGCCUGAUGCAGCAACGCCGCGUGCGGGAUGACGGCCUUCGGGUUGUAAACCGCUUUCGCCUGUGACGAAGCGUGAGUGACGGUAAUGGGUAAAGAAGCACCGGCUAACUACGUG